Molecule: transfer RNA, 66 nt
Filed under: Gastrodermus pygmaeus (pygmy corydoras)
Lineage: Eukaryota; Metazoa; Chordata; Actinopteri; Siluriformes; Callichthyidae
Description: Corydoras pygmaeus (pygmy corydoras) tRNA-Cys
Rfam family: tRNA
About the family: Transfer RNA (tRNA) molecules are approximately 80 nucleotides in length. Their secondary structure includes four short double-helical elements and three loops (D, anti-codon, and T loops).
Source: RNAcentral
AGCUCUGUGGUGUAACCACGUUGGAUUGCAAAUCCAGAGAUGUAGGUUAAUCGCCUACCGGGGCUU